GACAGUCUCGCCGAGUGGUCUAAGGCGCUGGCUUCAGGCGCCAGUCCGUAAGGCCGUAAGGGCGUGGGUUCGAACCCCACAGCUGUCA
RNAcentral lists this transfer RNA (88 nucleotides) under Symbiodinium microadriaticum. It matches the Rfam family "tRNA". From Rfam's summary of the family: Transfer RNA (tRNA) molecules are approximately 80 nucleotides in length. Their secondary structure includes four short double-helical elements and three loops (D, anti-codon, and T loops). The record is from Rfam by way of RNAcentral. Lineage: Eukaryota; Dinophyceae; Suessiales; Symbiodiniaceae.